Molecule: transfer RNA, 57 nt
Filed under: Scatoglyphus polytrematus
Lineage: Eukaryota; Metazoa; Arthropoda; Arachnida; Sarcoptiformes; Acaridae
Description: tRNA-Gly
Source: RNAcentral
AAUUCUUUAGUAUAGUAUUGUAUAUUUAAUUUCCAAUUAAAAGGAUUAUGAGAGUUA